GCGACGCCGCGUGAGGGAUGACGGCCUUCGGGUUGUAAACCUCUUUCGCUAGGGACGAAGCGUAAGUGACGGUACCUGGAGAAGAAGCACCGGCCAACUACGUGCCAGCAGCCGCGGUAAUA
This 122-nucleotide ribosomal RNA is filed under the name uncultured Gordonia sp. RNAcentral describes it as "partial 16S ribosomal RNA". It matches the Rfam family "Bacterial small subunit ribosomal RNA", at positions 391 to 525 of the family's 1533-position model. The record is from RNAcentral. Lineage: Bacteria; Bacillati; Actinomycetota; Actinomycetes; Mycobacteriales; Gordoniaceae.